GGGGAUGUAGCUCAGUGGCAGAGCGCAUGCUUAGCACACAUGAGGUCAUGGGUUCAAACCCCAGCACCUCCA
This 72-nucleotide transfer RNA is filed under the name Camelus bactrianus (Bactrian camel). It matches the Rfam family "tRNA". From Rfam's summary of the family: Transfer RNA (tRNA) molecules are approximately 80 nucleotides in length. Their secondary structure includes four short double-helical elements and three loops (D, anti-codon, and T loops). RNAcentral also lists the same sequence under 2 other names. The record is from Rfam by way of RNAcentral. Lineage: Eukaryota; Metazoa; Chordata; Mammalia; Artiodactyla; Camelidae.